This 145-nucleotide unclassified non-coding RNA is filed under the name uncultured Pleosporales. RNAcentral describes it as "sequence contains ITS1". The record is from RNAcentral. Lineage: Eukaryota; Fungi; Ascomycota; Dothideomycetes; Pleosporales.
CAGUGGGGGCCUCGCGGCCCCUGCCGAGAUUGCACCCUUUGUCCUUGGAGCACCGAACGUUUUCCCCGGCAGGUCCGCCUGCCAGCGGGGACCACAACCAAAACCCUUGCAGUCGUUGCAGUAAACGUACAAAAACAAACAAUCA